This 61-nucleotide transfer RNA is filed under the name Falcidens acutargatus. RNAcentral describes it as "tRNA-Pro". The record is from RNAcentral. Lineage: Eukaryota; Metazoa; Mollusca; Caudofoveata; Chaetodermatida; Chaetodermatidae.
CAACUAGUAGUUUAAUAAAAACAAUAGCAUUGGAAGCUAUUAUUCACAGAGUGCUAUUUGA